GAACGCGAAGAACCUUACCAGGUCUUGACAUCCCUCUGACCGCUCUAGAGAUAGAGUUUUCCUUCGGGACGGAGGUGACAGGUGGUGCAUGGUUGUCGUCAGCUCGUGUCGUGAGAUGUUGGGUUAAGUCCCGCAACGAGCGCAACCCCUAUUGUUAGUUGCCAUCAUUCAGUUGGGCACUCUAGCGAGACUGCCGGUAAUAAACCGGAGGAAGGUGGGGAUGACGUCAAAUCAUCAUGCCCCUUAUGACCUGGGCUACACACGUGCUACAAUGGUUGGUACAACGAGUCGCAAGCCGGUGACGGCAAGCUGAUCUCUUAAAGCCAAUCUCAGUUCGGAUUGUAGGCUGCAACUCGCCUACAUGAAGUCGGAAUCGCUAGUAAUCGCGGAUCAGCACGCCGCGGUGAAUACGUUCCCGGGUCUUGUACACACC
This 433-nucleotide ribosomal RNA is filed under the name uncultured bacterium. RNAcentral's name for it is "bacterial SSU rRNA". It matches the Rfam family "Bacterial small subunit ribosomal RNA", at positions 957 to 1391 of the family's 1533-position model. The record is from RNAcentral.